Molecule: ribosomal RNA, 497 nt
Filed under: uncultured bacterium
Lineage: Bacteria
Description: partial 16S ribosomal RNA
Rfam family: Bacterial small subunit ribosomal RNA
Source: RNAcentral
GAUGAACGCUGGCGGCGUGCCUAAUACAUGCAAGUCGAGCGAACAGAUGAGGAGCUUGCUCCUCUGACGUUAGCGGCGGACGGGUGAGUAACACGUGGAUAACCUACCUAUAAGACUGGGAUAACUUCGUGAAACCGUAGCUAAUACCGGAUAAUAUAUUGAACCGCAUGGUUCAAUAGUGAAAGACGGUUUUGCUGUCACUUAUAGAUGGAUCCGCGCCGCAUUAGCUAGUUGGUAAGGUAACGGCUUACCAAGGCAACGAUGCGUAGCCGACCUGAGAGGGUCAUCGGCCACACUGGAACUGAGACACGGUCCAGACUCCUACGGGAGGCAGCAGUAGGGAAUCUUCCGCAAUGGGCGAAAGCCUGACGGAGCAACGCCGCGUGAGUGAUGAAGGUCUUCGGAUCGUAAAACUCUGUUAUUAGGGAAGAACAAAUGUGUAAGUAACUAUGCACGUCUUGACGGUACCUAAUCAGAAAGCCACGGCUAACUACGUG